GACAACAGCACAGAAUUUAAGAGGAGAAUCUUCAGAGUGAUUUAACGUGAAGUUUCAUUCCAGAUCUCCCAGAUUUGUUAGCAUAAUAGCAACAUUGCUCUCCUAGGGCUGCACAUAGCCCUCCCUCUUUCAUAAACCCAAGGUCAAGUCCUCGGCGGUUUUGAAGGACCAUCUCAGCCAGAGAAUCAACUUGUUUUUCCAAAUGAGACACUGACUCGAUACAUCCUGAAAAUUCUUAUUCUAUGAUGGAAGUCAGUGAACCAUCAACCAUUCUAUAUUUAAGAUUUGUAGAGCAAAACUUUGCCACGUUUUCCUGAUGAUUUAACAAAGCUUGAUAUCACAAGUUUUUAAGAAAACUUACCACAUCUCCUACAAUGUGAAAGAGCUGAGAUCAGAAUAAGAAAAACAUUCUGAAGAGAGUUGAGACCAUCCCUGACACAAGUCACCUGGUGUGGACUCUGUUUUGCACCCUGGAAUAUUUUUUCUUCUUGGAGGGGAACCGGAUGUACAGCACGGAGAAGCAUGCCCUUUGGAAAUGUCAGUGAAUACAGUUGUGCUUCUCAGUAAAGGAACAAGUUCUUCUCUACCACUGGAUCAGAGGGUGUAAAGAAAACUUGUAAAGUAUACAAACUUAAGGCCAAAGUUAUGGCGGCAGAAAAAUUAAGAGAAGAGGAAAAAUAAUCUCAAAAGAAGAUAGAAAUGUAGGGUGAAAGAGCCUAAACCUCUUAGGAAUUUUCCACCUUGAUCAAAACAAAACUAAACAAGCAGGAGCUUCUGUAUUUUAUCUCAACAAGGAAACAGGGGAAAUUCUAAACACAAUAAACUUUAUCCCUAAGAAUUUCUUAUAUUUAUCUCCCUACUUGAAUCAGAAAAGCAUUUGAAGUUUCAAAGAUGGAUAUAAAGGUACCGGUUUUUAAGGUACUCAUUUUCAAAGUUUUAAUUUCUUGGACAUGAAUUUAGUGGACUCUGAAAUUUUUAUUUAUGCUUUCAUCUUUAUAAUUUCAAUUAAAUAAGGAUACUAUUUUAAUAUUAUGAAUUCAUGUGUGAAAAUGUUUAUUAUUCUCAUUCUCAUU
This 1073-nucleotide long non-coding RNA is filed under the name Heterocephalus glaber (naked mole-rat). RNAcentral describes it as "lncRNA (ENSHGLG00000027019.2)". The record is from RNAcentral. Lineage: Eukaryota; Metazoa; Chordata; Mammalia; Rodentia; Bathyergidae.